GUUAUGAUCUAGUAUACGUUUCAGUUCUUUAGAAAUGAGCCAUGAAUACUGCCUCUCAGCAACAGUUUAUUGUCUACAGCUGUAAAUUGGUCAACUGUUGGUUUGUUGAAGUCACACUUUACAAGUGGAAUAAAGCUCUUGUCUUUCUUAUUACUACAAGACUCAAGACUGAUGAUCAAACUGUUGCUGAAAAGGAUUGUAAUGUCAACUGCAAUUCAUACUCAUACCAUCCCUAACUACAUUCAUAUCUUAAGAAUAAUUUUAAUGUUUUUGGAAAAAUAUUUAAGGCAUUAAUAUUACAUUCAUACUAACUUCUGGAAUUUGCUUAGCACUUAGAAGAGGAAAAUAAAAUUUAGAGCAAAA
Xenia sp. Carnegie-2017 is the source of this 363-nucleotide long non-coding RNA. RefSeq lists it as uncharacterized. The record is from RefSeq and is a predicted model, not a curated record. NCBI's taxonomy places the organism in Eukaryota, Metazoa, Cnidaria, Anthozoa, Malacalcyonacea, Xeniidae. The transcript has 2 exons.